Molecule: long non-coding RNA, 832 nt
Organism: Vigna unguiculata (cowpea)
Lineage: Eukaryota; Viridiplantae; Streptophyta; Magnoliopsida; Fabales; Fabaceae
Source: RefSeq, a predicted model, not a curated record
CUUUUGUAAAUUUUAAUGUUUUAGAAUCAGUAGUGUAUCAGUGCAGUGUUGUCUCAGUGCGGUGUUGCUUUCCUUUGUCGUGGUCGUGUCUCCACCGUCCUCUGCCGCCGUCGCACAUCUUCCAUCAUUCUUGCUCACUUCUUCACUGUCUCAGAGCUGCAACUUUCUUUUGUAGCGUGGUCGUUUCUCAGAGGAGAAGAUCGUUCUCCACUCUCCACCGUCCUCCACCACCGCUGCACAUCGUUCUCCACCGUUCUUUCAUGGAAACUUCCUCCACCGCCGCUUGAGUAACCGUGCCAUACAAUCGGAGUGCGUUCAGAUUUGCCAUUGCGUUCAAUUUUCGUGCUCCUCUUUUCGUGCGUUCAAUCGGAGUGCGUUCAAUUUUUGUGCGUUCAAUCGGAGUGCGUUCAACUUUUGCUCUUCCGGGAUAUUCUAGCUUGUUUAAGAGAUUCAAGAACACCAUCGAAUUUUUGGUACAAUGUUCGUUGGCAUGGUUCACGAAGUUGCUUACGCCUUGCAAUAAAGGGAUACUUGCAAUACGUGAAGAAGGAAAAGGACGAAGACUCUUUGCAAAUUCACCAACUAAUUCAGUUUCUGGAAAUAGAGUUAAUCGAUGAUCAUGUAACUUGUUACAUGGGAGCAGAUGCUAAUACAGGUGAGCAGGCGGAUACAUAGAGACGAAGUGGGGAUCACGACGGGAUUAUUCACUCAGUUUUAUUAUAAUUUUCUUUUGUAAUGACUGAAUAGUACGAUUUUAAUUACUACGAAAGCGAUGUUGAACUUUUAAUUUUCCUGCGUUUUUGGGAAAUUACGAGAAUAAAUGCGAUGUUUU